UGCAGCCUCCUUCUGGAAUUUACUGCCACAGGAGACCGUUAAGUCAAGGACUAUGUCCAGAUUUUUUCAGGAACUUGGAUAAAUUAAUGCUUAAUAACAAUA
Molecule: small nucleolar RNA, 102 nt
Filed under: Haliaeetus albicilla (white-tailed eagle)
Lineage: Eukaryota; Metazoa; Chordata; Aves; Accipitriformes; Accipitridae
Description: Small nucleolar RNA SNORA5
Source: Rfam by way of RNAcentral